Musca domestica (house fly) is the source of this 4005-nucleotide long non-coding RNA. RefSeq lists it as uncharacterized. The record is from RefSeq and is a predicted model, not a curated record. The transcript has 2 exons. Lineage: Eukaryota; Metazoa; Arthropoda; Insecta; Diptera; Muscidae.
UUCUACAACUAACUACAAAUUGGUUAAAAAGUCAUCUGAAUAUCAACCAGUUGUGGUUUCUUAACUGGUUGAUCUUCAGAUGACAUUUGUACCAAUUUGUAGUUAGUUGUGGAAUAAUGCAUUUAUAAAAGCGAUUUCCUCAAACGGUUGAGAAAAGUCCCGUCAAAAAAAAAAUAAUAAUUAUAAAUAAAUAAAUAAAAAAUUUGUUAACAUAUUUUUUAACUGACUAAAAAUCGACUAAGUGGUUUACAGUUAGUUUAAAAGUAACUAGUUUAUAUUUAGCUUCACAGUAAUGCAGGAAUGGACAAUUGUCCACUGCCUAGCUCAUCCCAAUUUAUUUCCCCGAAGGGAAGGUACAGAUCUCCAAAAUCGCUGCUCAUUGGCUGCGUCUACUGUACCGCAAAGGGAAAUGCAAAGCAAAUGCUCAUUAGCUGCGUCUACUGUACCGCAAAGAGAAAUGUAGAUCAAAUGUCAGAUGAUCAAGCAGCUUAGUUAUGUAUAACAGACUUUCAGUCUAAUAUUUACAGCAACUACUCAUAUGCGAGUUCUACUAGUUCCGCUCGGGGAGAUGUAGAUAAGAUGCCGUAGAAUGAGUUUGGAGAAUUAAAAACAAAACAUUUAACGAAUACUCAUUGAAUAAAAAUAAAAUUGCAUAUGUAGAAUAGAGAUCUUUAUUGUAUUCAACGGAUUACUUAAUUAAAUAGUAUUAAAUAAACUGAUAUAAAUAACAAAAAAUAACAUCAUCUCGCAAACGAUAAUUUUAAAGGUUGGAAAUUACGAGUUCUACGAAAUGGAACAUUAUGGUUUAUUUCACCUAUAAGAAAUGAAGAAUCAAUGAGAUCGCGUAAUAAUUUAAUGAUAAACAGUGCUCUUAACAUAAAAAGUCUUCUUUGAAGUAAUGGAAGGUCAAUUAACAAUAACCUACUCCCAUAAAGUGGAAGAGGUUCGGAAACGUUCCAGUUUAAACAAUGUAAAGCGAAAAUAAAAUCUGAUUUUAUUUUAUUAGAGUAAAAUAUAUAAAAUGGGCUCCACAGUAUACAGCCAUAUUCCAAUACUGGACGCACCAAGCUAACAAAUAAUCAUUUAGUUACAUAAAGAUCAUCAAACUCUUUAGACCAGCGCUUGAUGAUACCUAGUAACGAUUUUGCUUAAUUUACGCAAGACUAAAUAUGCAAGUGAAACCGAAGCUUAGGAUCUAAUAGUUAGAUAAUAAAGGUUGGAUCGAAAGAAACACAACUUUCAAUAUCUUCGAAACAAAGCUAUAAUGGUUAGAUACAUAUUACUGGAUCUUAAUUUCAUGAUUUGCAACACUAAUAUCUUCUAAACUACAAGAGAUAUCAAUACAUAUGGCACCAAUUUGGAAAGGUCACAAUGUAGGCUACAAUGCAGUUCUUAAUACCCCAUAAUGGGUACAUUUUCGAUUUUUUCAAAAAUACCAAUUUUCUUGUAUUACUCCGGGGUUUUGAGUUUAAAGGCUAUGCACAGAUACCCAGGUUUUUUAAACAAUUAAGGGUUCGAAAUACAACAUCCACUUUUAAUAGGGUUCUAAAAUGGGUAUCAUUUGAAAGUUUAUGGGAAUACCUAUCUGGCAAGUGGUCAUAGGAUACUCCGUUUCCGGUAUAAUGCAAGAAAAUUUGUAUUUUUAUACCAGUACUUUUUGCAAAAUCCCUAAAAACUCGAAAAUGGUGCCAUAUGUGCUGAUAUCUCUUAUAGUUCCAAAGAUAAAUUGAGAUUUUCUCCACUAAUAUGUAUCUAACCUUGUUUUAAGUAGCCGGACUUCGGCCGUUUUCGGCAAUAUUGGAGUUUUUAGAGAUUAGAUAGGUAUUUUCAUAAGCUUUCAUUGGAUAUCCAUUUUUUACAUUUCAGUUUUGUAAAACCGAAUUUGCGAGUCGAAUAACCGGGUAAGCGAAUAUUUCCCCACCAAAGAAAUAAUUUGCCGUAAUCAGUUUAUAAAGACCUAUACGUUUUAUUUUUGUCCCCCUCCACCGUGCACAGUAUUUUUCAUCUCCAUAGUAAACAUCUCCGACCGUGUAAGGUACAUAUAUUCUCGAUCACAAAAAAAUUAAGUUUUAUCGAUAUCCGCCCUUCAGUUGUAAUCACUCUCCUGAGGAAAAUGAGCUAGAAGCUAAAAUUGUGUGCACAUAGCCACAUUUUCAACGCAAUUUUAAUGUUUUAUUAAUUUUUGCUGUAGCUACAAACCACUGGCAAAUAAUUGUCUACAUAGGUUUAUGUUUUCCUGCGUCCUUUAUAUAACGGUACUCCGACAUUUGAUGCAUUAAUUGCUCUUUUCAACGGAAUCGACAAAUUAAACCUCAUUGUAGAUUCACCAUUUUAGUAUUCUCGUAGAUGGAAAAGAGUUUCAACAUAAGAUGUUUCGGAUUACAGAAAUUCAGGGUGAGAGAAUAACGCAGGAAAAUAAAACUGACUGAAUUUUAAAACUGUAUAACGUCUAGUUACCAAAGCAUAGUCAAUUAGAGAGCCGGUAUUAUGGCGAAGAUCUAGGGUAUGAAGAAGAUCCAGGGUGCGCCGCAUAAGAAAGUGACGAAUGUUCAUACAAUUCUAAGAUAUGAAUACGGCCAGGUAUAUGUUCAAAUCUUGCAACAAUGUCGGCAAUACUAUGUUCAAAAGGUGAUAAAUUUUGUGUUUAAUUACAUACUAUUGUCCAUAAUAAUAAAUAUUUUUAAUUGUAAUACUAAUUUGAGUAGACAACUCGCGAAUUUUUUUUUUCAUGUAAGGCGUCAAAAAUUAACUUUCGUAGGGACCUUCCAUACAUUUUUAAAAUUUGUCUAUAGGAGUUCCUAAUAACAAAAAUAGCAUUAGACAUAGCGUUAGAUUUUUUUGUGUAACCUCCUUUAUUAUGGUUUAUUUGAUGUAUAUAUAAUGGAAUUAGCAAUUUAAAUUCACUGGGUUUACUAAAUCCAAUGAACUAUAAACGUACUAUUAUAGACAUUUUUUCAAAAGUUUAGCUUUCCUAAUGGUGAAGGUAUUAAAAUUUAGCCCCUACCUAAUUUAACGGGUGUUUUUAUUAACAACCUGCUUAGCUUUAAAUUUUUGCAUUACCAAUGUAUUUUGGACAUACAGUGAGACACAAAAUGAAAACAACAAAUGUAUGAUUGUUAAUGGAAUUAUUUUUAAUAAAGUUGUACAUGAUUUCAGCAUAUAAUCCUUUUUAUUUAGAUUUAUAACUCAAUUAAGAACAGGGUUACAGUGGGUGCAGCUGCAUCCUGUGCAUCAUUGCACUAAAGUAAUUCAGUCCUCGCUAACAAGUCUAGAGAUUAGAGACAAGACUUUCGAUGAACGGAUUUGUUUCAAGAGAUGUCAAUUGGUUUGGUACAGUACAUUAGUACAGCUGCACCUCUUUUCAAUAAGUUAUUAAGUUUAAAUGUUUAUUAUUUAAAUGGUUUUACAUUAUUUUUAUUUAAGCAUAUAAAAUAUACAAUGAAAUUAAUAAAUAGGAAUGGAAUAAAUAAUAUUCUAUAAAUGUUUUUAUGAAUAAGAGAUGUUAAAAUAUAGGUAGGUAUACGUUAUAAAUUCUAUAACACAAUGAAAUCUAUAUUUUGUUCACGUCCUUUAUCUAAUAGAUAAUUAUAAGUAUAAUCGAAAAGUAUAAUUUGCUAUACUUUUAUGUUUAUAUGUUCAUGUGGUUUGUUUAAUAACCCUCGUCAGAAAUGUUGUAUAGAAUUUACAUUUGUUAUUUUUUUUUAGAUUUAUAAUUGUUAACUGCAUUAGAUAUAAAACCGAAAGGUGAAAGAAGUAUGCUGGUAAUUAUAAUUAAUUAAUAAUAUUUAAAGUUUUAUGUCUUACAAAAAAAUAUAUAUAUUAUAAAUUAAUUGAAAUUAAUUUCACGACUACAUUGAAAAAAGUUUGUUUGUUGUUAUGAUGAUUUUUAUUUCUCUUAUAUCCGUGAAAUUGUGCAUCAAAUCAACAUACUUCCAUGAUCCAAAUAACAAGCAACACCAAAACGCUUAUUUAACAAAAAAAAAAAAAAAAUAAAUAAAUAAAUAA